RNAcentral lists this transfer RNA (77 nucleotides) under Deltaproteobacteria bacterium. RNAcentral describes it as "tRNA-Arg". It matches the Rfam family "tRNA". Rfam says of the family: Transfer RNA (tRNA) molecules are approximately 80 nucleotides in length. The record is from RNAcentral. Lineage: Bacteria; Pseudomonadati; Myxococcota; Myxococcia.
GGCCCCGUAGCUCAAUUGGAUAGAGCGCCUGCCUCCGGAGCAGGAGGUUGAAGGUUCGAGUCCUUCCGGGGUCGCCA